RNAcentral lists this non-coding RNA (28 nucleotides) under Homo sapiens (human). The record is from RNAcentral. Lineage: Eukaryota; Metazoa; Chordata; Mammalia; Primates; Hominidae.
UGGCUGUAUGAGAACACGAUGGGACUGC